CUCAAGUUUGAGCAUUUCAAGCCUAUUUUUCAUUCAAUAUUCAUUUUGCUUUCAAGAACACUUAUUGUGCUCAAUUGUAUAUAUUCUUGAGUGUUCUUUCUUUGUUCUAGAAUUGUGCAAACAUAUUUACCUUGUGAGGUUUUUCUUGCGAGUUUGCAAAUUUGUAAUCUUCUCUUUGAGAAAAGAGUGUUCUCAAGAAUUGGGGUAUAUUCUUGAGGGAGUUGUAAGGUUAUCUCUUUGGCCUCAAAAGAAAGAACAAAUUAGUGAAUUUGUUGGAAAAUCCUUAGUGCCUUAACGGGAUGGUACUGACUUUCAUACAGGUACUGCAUGGCUGUCGUCAGCUCGUGUCGUGAGAUGUUUGGUCAAGUCCUAUAACGAGCGAAACCCUCGUUUUGUGUUGUUGAGACAUGCGCAUAAGGAGAAAAUCUUUGCAACUGAAGUGAGCCGAGGAGCCGAGUGACGUGCCAGCGCUACUAAUUGAGUGCCAGCACGUAGCUGUGCUGUCAGUAAGAAAAGAGCCGGCGCCUUUCGAAAGCCCUUUCUAGUGUGCGCUUUAGUUUGAUUGCUGCUAGCACGCUUUACUAAUAACAUAGAAAGGGCUUUCUUUUCUCGCUUGUUUAGUAAAGUCAAGUUUUUGGCCUUAUCUUGCAGGUGACGACGACGUCGAGUUGGCGGCGGAGAAAUACUCGGCAUUCAGGCGAGCCGCCCUGUGGUGUGGUACGUAGUGGGUUUAGUACGCCCCGCCAAAAUGGCUCUGAAACAAACAAAAAGGUGCGUGCCGCACUCACGAGGGACUGCCAGUGAUAUACUGAAGGAAGGUGGGGAUGACGUCAAGUCCGCAUGGCCCUUAUGGGCUGGGCCACACACGUGCUACAAUGGCAAUUACAAUGGGAAGCAAGGCUGUAAGGCGGAGCGAAUCCGGAAAGAUUGCCUCAGUUCGGAUUGUUCUCUGCAACUCGGGAACAUGAAGUUGGAAUCGCUAGUAAUCGCGGAUCAGCAUGCCGCGGUGAAUAUGUACCCGGGCCCUGUACACACCGCCCGUCACACCCUGGGAAUUGGUUUCGCCCGAAGCAUCGGACCAAUGAUCACCCAUGACUUCUGUGUACCACUAGUGCCACAAAGGCUUUUGGUGGUCUUAUUGGCGCAUACCACGGUGGGGUCUUCGACUGGGGUGAAGUCGUAACAAGGUAGCCGUAGGGGAACCUGUGGCUG
Molecule: ribosomal RNA, 1212 nt
Filed under: Hibiscus syriacus
Lineage: Eukaryota; Viridiplantae; Streptophyta; Magnoliopsida; Malvales; Malvaceae
Description: bacterial SSU rRNA
Rfam family: Bacterial small subunit ribosomal RNA
Source: RNAcentral